UACGAAGGGGGCUAGCGUUGCUCGGAAUCACUGGGCGUAAAGCGCACGUAGGCGGGCUUUUAAGUCGGUGGUGAAAUCCUGGAGCUCAACUCCAGAACUGCCUUUGAUACUGGCGAUCUCGAGUCCGGGAGAGGUGAGUGGAACUGCGAGUGUAGAGGUGAAAUUCGUAGAUAUUCGCAAGAACACCAGUGGCGAAGGCGGCUCACUGGCCCGGUACUGACGCUGAGGUGCGAAAGCGUGGGGAGCAAACAGG
Molecule: ribosomal RNA, 253 nt
Filed under: uncultured bacterium
Lineage: Bacteria
Description: partial 16S ribosomal RNA
Rfam family: Bacterial small subunit ribosomal RNA
Source: RNAcentral